Molecule: long non-coding RNA, 897 nt
Organism: Oryzias latipes (Japanese medaka)
Lineage: Eukaryota; Metazoa; Chordata; Actinopteri; Beloniformes; Adrianichthyidae
Source: RefSeq, a predicted model, not a curated record
GUCAAAACUUCACCUUCUUUGACGCAGCAUCAAAAGCCUCAAUCAAGACAAUUUAUCAGGAUCAUCACAUCGUGCUCAAAGCAACAAUGAAGAUGGCAGGAAUCCUCUGGAUGUCCGUCAGCGUUCUGCUUCUCGCAAGCUGCACCGGUAUCACCGAGAAUAAGCUUGCUUAUUUGGUAAAUAAGAUUUCGAAAAAAUACCACGCAGGCAAAAUGUUCAGCAUUGCUGCAAGCAUCCCAAAAACCCAGAACGGAUACGAUGUCGACCAAAUCCUACAGGCUGAGAAACCUGAGACGGUGAACGAAACAAUAUGGAGUGGGAAAGUGUAUGCACACGGCAGGAUUGUUGCUGCAACAUUUAUCAAAAAGCCAAAAAGCGAUGGAAAUAUACAUGCAGAGUAUCGAGUUCUACAAAACCUUGACAACUUAAAUAAUCAAGAAUUCGAUCUUAAAAAUGAUCUGAUGCUUUUUUAUGUUCUAUCAGCUCCUUGUGUCGAUAGGUGUACACGUGAAAACAAACCAGAAAACAUCCUGAAGCUCUUAGAACACUUGAAAAAAUGGGACAAUUAUCGUUUUGUAUUCUCACAUUUGUAUAUACCCAAGUAUCUAGAGAGUACUUCAAAGGAUUCUAAAGACGAGAAGUCUAAAGAGGAUAGAAAAAAUGGAAUUAAGAUACUUGGAAAAAUACUGUGUCUUGAGAAUGUGUUUCGAUGCCGUAAAAUAGGGAGAGAAAUGCAGUGUAGAACCUGUAAGGACCAGAACAAACAGGUUGCAGACGUUUGUUUUUCUGACCCCACCUCUCCGCAGUCUAAUGAUGAAAACUCUGUGGCUCCAGCUCCAGUUGUUACAAACGCUUUAAUACAGCGCGGUAGGGGAGGUACAGGGAUGGUUGGAGGAA